ACGAACGCUGGCGGCGUGCUUAACACAUGCAAGUCGCACGGAAAGGCCCUGCUUUUGUGGGGUGCGCGAGUGGCGAACGGGGGAGUAACACGUGAGUAACCUGCCCUUGACUUUGGGAUAACUUCAGGAAACUGGGGCUAAUACCGGAGAGGAGCUGCUGCUGCAUGGGGGGGGUUGGAAGGUUUCGGCGGUUGGGGAUGGACUCGCGGCUUAUCAGCUUGUUGGUGGGGUAGUGGCUUACCAGGGCUUUGACGGGUAGCCGGCCUGAGAGGGUGACCGGCCACAGUGGGACUGAGAUACGGCCCAGACUCCUACGGGAGGCAGCAGUGGGGAAUAUUGCACAAUGGGCGGAAGCCUGAUGCAGCAACGCCGCGUGCGGGAUGACGGCCUUCGGGUUGUAAACCGCUUUCGCCUGUGACGAAGCGUGAGUGACGGUAAUGGGUAAAGAAGCACCGGCUAACUACGUG
RNAcentral lists this ribosomal RNA (467 nucleotides) under uncultured bacterium. Its description in RNAcentral is "partial 16S ribosomal RNA". It matches the Rfam family "Bacterial small subunit ribosomal RNA", at positions 29 to 507 of the family's 1533-position model. The record is from RNAcentral.